UGGGGAAUAUUGGACAAUGGGCGCAAGCCUGAUCCAGCCAUGCCGCGUGGGUGAUGAAGGCCCUAGGGUUGUAAAGCCCUUUCGGCGGGGAAGAUAAUGACGGUACCCGCCGAAGAAGCACCGGCUAACUCCGUGCCAGCCGCCGCGGUAAGACGGAGGGGGCUAGCGUUGUUCGGAAUUACUGGGCGUAAAGGGCGCGGAGGCGGCCUGUUAAGUCGGUUGUGAAAGCCCGGGGCCCAACCCCGGGAC
This 249-nucleotide ribosomal RNA is filed under the name uncultured Rhodoplanes sp. Its description in RNAcentral is "partial 16S ribosomal RNA". It matches the Rfam family "Bacterial small subunit ribosomal RNA", at positions 355 to 621 of the family's 1533-position model. Lineage: Bacteria; Pseudomonadati; Pseudomonadota; Alphaproteobacteria; Hyphomicrobiales; Nitrobacteraceae. The record is from RNAcentral.